GAUGAACGCUGGCGGCGUGCCUAAUACAUGCAAGUCGAGCGAACAGACGAGGAGCUUGCUCCUUUGACGUUAGCGGCGGACGGGUGAGUAACACGUGGAUAACCUACCUAUAAGACUGGGAUAACUUCGGGAAACCGGAGCUAAUACCGGAUAACAUGUUGAACCGCAUGGUUCAACAGUGAAAGACGGUCUUGCUGUCACUUAUAGAUGGAUCCGCGCCGCAUUAGCUAGUUGGUAAGGUAACGGCUUACCAAGGCAACGAUGCGUAGCCGACCUGAGAGGGUGAUCGGCCACACUGGAACUGAGACACGGUCCAGACUCCUACGGGAGGCAGCAGUAGGGAAUCUUCCGCAAUGGGCGAAAGCCUGACGGAGCAACGCCGCGUGAGUGAAGAAGGUCUUCGGAUCGUAAAACUCUGUUAUUAGGGAAGAACAAAUGUGUAAGUAACUAUGCACGUUUUGACGGUACCUAAUCAGAAAGCCACGGCUAACUACGUG
RNAcentral lists this ribosomal RNA (497 nucleotides) under uncultured bacterium. RNAcentral's name for it is "partial 16S ribosomal RNA". It matches the Rfam family "Bacterial small subunit ribosomal RNA", at positions 28 to 507 of the family's 1533-position model. The record is from RNAcentral.